RNAcentral lists this ribosomal RNA (1026 nucleotides) under Triticum aestivum (bread wheat). RNAcentral describes it as "partial small subunit ribosomal RNA". Lineage: Eukaryota; Viridiplantae; Streptophyta; Magnoliopsida; Poales; Poaceae. The record is from RNAcentral.
AUGCCCUCCCUGUACAAGCAGCUGGGCCUGGGCGCCGCCGGCUCGCCGGUGAACGCGUCCCACCUCCUCAUGCUCGUCCUCGGCGCCGGCUUCCUCGCCUUCACCGUCUUCGUCGUCCACCCCAACGACUUCCGCCUCCAGUCCUUCUUCUCCGGCGCCUGCCCCGGCUCCCCGCCGCAUGACCCCGUUCUCGCGCCGGUCAACGCCACGCCCAAGGCCAAGGCCGCCACGACCACGCCAGUCAAGGCGCCGGACGGGCACCCCGGCGUGCGCGUGCUGAUCGGCAUCCAGACGAUGCCGGGCAAGUACGAGCGGCGGCACCUGCUGCGGACCGUGUACGCGCUGCAGCUCCAGGAGCACCCCGCCCUUGCCGGCGCCGUGGACGUGCGCUUCGUCUUCUGCAACGUCACCUCCGCCGUCGACGCCGUGCUGGUGGCCCUGGAGAUCAUGCGGUACGGCGACGUCAUCGUGCUCGACUGCGCCGAGAACAUGGACGGCGGCAAGACGUACGACUUCUUCGCCACCGCCGCCCGCGCCUUCCCCGACGGCGCCUACGACUACGUGAUGAAGGCCGACGACGACACGUACCUGCGGCUCCCGGCGCUGGCGGCGUGGAUGGCCGGCGCGGCGCGGGAGGACGCGUACCUGGGCCUGCAGAUGCCGUGCGACCGGGAGAACUUCUACCCGUUCCCGCCCUUCAUGUCCGGCAUGGGGUACGCGCUGUCGUGGGACCUGGUGCGCUGGGUGGCGAGCUCCGAGGUCAGCCGCCGCGACCGCGUCGGGCCGGAGGACAUGUGGACGGGGCGGUGGCUCAACGUCGCCGGCAAGGCCAAGAACCGCUACGACGGCGCCCCCAGGAUGUACAACUACCUGGGGAGCUCCCCGGCCAACUGCUUCCGGCGCGGCUUCCGCCCGGACACCAUCGCCGUGCACAUGCUCAAGGACGCCGGCCGGUGGGCCGAGACGCUCGCCUACUUCAACGCCACCGCCGCGCUGCCGCCGUCCGCGCUCUACCACCUGCCUUGA